Non-coding RNA from Acanthosepion pharaonis, 113 nucleotides. Lineage: Eukaryota; Metazoa; Mollusca; Cephalopoda; Sepiida; Sepiidae. The record is from the annotation of a GenBank genome assembly.
UACAACCAUAUCACAUUGAGACAUUGGUUCCCGUACAAUCACUGAAGUUAAGCAAUGUUGAGCCUGGGUAGUACCUAGAUGAGUGACUGCUUGGGAAAACCAGAUGCUGUAAG